GGUUGUGGCUCAGUGGUAGAGUGCUUGCCUGGUAUAUGUGAAGCACUGGGUUCGAUCCUCAGCACCA
Molecule: transfer RNA, 67 nt
Filed under: Marmota monax (woodchuck)
Lineage: Eukaryota; Metazoa; Chordata; Mammalia; Rodentia; Sciuridae
Description: tRNA.Thr
Source: RNAcentral